CAGCCGCCGCGGGAAUACGUAGGUGGCAAGCGUUGUCCGGAAUUAUUGGGCGUAAAGCGCGCGCAGGCGGAUCAGUUAGUCUGUCUUAAAAGUUCGGGGCUUAACCCCGUGAGGGGAUGGAAACUGCUGAUCUAGAGUAUCGGAGAGGAAAGUGGAAUUCCUAGUGUAGCGGUGAAAUGCGUAGAUAUUAGGAAGAACACCAGUGGCGAAGGCGACUUUCUGGACGAAAACUGACGCUGAGGCGCGAAAGCCAGGGGAGCGAACGGGAUUAGAGACCCCGGUAGUCCCUGUCUCUUAACAC
Molecule: ribosomal RNA, 301 nt
Filed under: uncultured bacterium
Lineage: Bacteria
Description: partial 16S ribosomal RNA
Rfam family: Bacterial small subunit ribosomal RNA
Source: RNAcentral